AUUGAACGCUGGCGGCAGGCCUAACACAUGCAAGUCGAGCGGAUGAAGGGAGCUUGCUCCUGGAUUCAGCGGCGGACGGGUGAGUAAUGCCUAGGAAUCUGCCUGGUAGUGGGGGAUAACGUCCGGAAACGGGCGCUAAUACCGCAUACGUCCUGAGGGAGGAAGUGGGGGAUCUUCGGACCUCACGCUAUCAGAUGAGCCUAGGUCGGAUUAGCUAGUUGGUGGGGUAAAGGCCUACCAAGGCGACGAUCCGUAACUGGUCUGAGAGGAUGAUCAGUCACACUGGAACUGAGACACGGUCCAGUCUCCUACGGGAGGCAGCAGUGGGGAAUAUUGGACAAUGGGCGAAAGCCUGAUCCAGCCAUGCCGCGUGUGUGAAGAAGGUCUUCGGAUUGUAAAGCACUUUAAGUUGGGAGGAAGGGCAGUAAGUUAAUACCUUGCUGUUUUGACGUUACCAACAGAAUAAGCACCGGCUAACUUCGUG
Molecule: ribosomal RNA, 484 nt
Filed under: uncultured bacterium
Lineage: Bacteria
Description: partial 16S ribosomal RNA
Rfam family: Bacterial small subunit ribosomal RNA
Source: RNAcentral